AUGGCGCCCACCAAGAAGGGAUCCAUAGCAACGAAACCUUCCAUGUCCAAGCUUUCGGCACACUCGUCCGCGGGCGACGCAGGUGGAACCACCGCCAUAGAUGGUGCAUACUCCAUGGUCAGUGCGACAGGCGCAGGCAGUGCGGUCGCCGUACCCACUAUGGCGGAAGCAGGCGGCGGAGGCACCGAAGGUGGGCCUCCACCUCGACCUUCUGGCAAAAACAACGACCAUGGCGCGGGCAACGCGGGUACACAACUCCUGCCUCCUAUGCGCGUUGGCGAGUGCAGCCACCGGAGCAACCCUGUUUGGCCGGGCGCGAGUCGCGACCCUCUCACUGUGAUGACGGCAGCGGAGGCGAGGGGAUCAACAUUGAGACACACACCAUAUCGGUCACGAGAUGGGCAUGAUGUGACACCAAGCGGUGCUAUUGUACCACCACAACAGUGCCCACAUGGCAAGUCACCCAUCGAUCAACCUCAAGAUCCAUAG
This 489-nucleotide ribosomal RNA is filed under the name Triticum aestivum (bread wheat). RNAcentral's name for it is "partial small subunit ribosomal RNA". The record is from RNAcentral. Lineage: Eukaryota; Viridiplantae; Streptophyta; Magnoliopsida; Poales; Poaceae.